AUUGAACGCUGGCGGCAUGCCUUACACAUGCAAGUCGAACGGCAGCACGGACUUCGGUCUGGUUGCGAGUGGCGAACGGGUGAGUAAUGUAUCGGAACGUACCUUUCAUUGCCGGAUAACGUAGCGAAAGUGACGCUAAUACCGCAAACUCUGUGAUCAGGAAAGCCGGGGAUCGAAAGACCUUGCGCUUAUUGAGUAGCCGAUAUCCGAUUAGCUAGGUGGUGGGGUAAAGGCCUACCAAGGCGACGAUCUGAAGCGCGUCUGAGAGGAUGAUCCGACACACUGGAACUGAGACGCAGUCCAGACACCGACGGGAGGAAGCAGUGGAGAAUCUUGGACAAUGGGGGAGAGCCUGAUACAGCAAAGCCGCGUAAGUGAAGAAGGACUACGGGUUGUAAAGCUCUUAAGGCCGGGAAGAAAUAGAAUAGGCUAAUACGCUGUGUGAAUGACGGUACCGGGAUAAGAAGCACCGGCUAACUACGUG
This 484-nucleotide ribosomal RNA is filed under the name uncultured bacterium. RNAcentral describes it as "partial 16S ribosomal RNA". It matches the Rfam family "Bacterial small subunit ribosomal RNA", at positions 30 to 507 of the family's 1533-position model. The record is from RNAcentral.